Molecule: long non-coding RNA, 1569 nt
Organism: Mesocricetus auratus (golden hamster)
Lineage: Eukaryota; Metazoa; Chordata; Mammalia; Rodentia; Cricetidae
Exons: 5
Source: RefSeq, a predicted model, not a curated record
GGCUCCAGAGUGAGACCAGUGUGGGCCAGGGCCAUGGGGAGGUCGGAGCUGACGUCUGUCCUAGGUGGCCCCACACACAUGGUGUGACCCGAGCCCAGGGCCAUCCUCACUCCUCACGCCUGGACUUGAGAUGCCUGGAGGGCAGCGGCUGUGUGCCGAGUGGGGCUUCCCAGCCCCUGCCCUCCUUCGGCCUCUUCCUCCUGUGUGUGCCAGAGCCUUGUUAGCAGGAGGUCGGGCCACCAUCAAAGGACAGCAGUGAGCGCACUUCUCACAGCUUGCCACGGCAUAUCCCCAGGAAGUCUGAGAAAACUGGAAUGUGCGAUUGUAUCUGCUUCUGUCUACACUGAUGACUACGGAGACGAGCCCCUGGUCAGAGUGCUGAGAGUAAGGGACAGAGUGCGCUUAGCCCUAAACUGGACACCCAGGCUCCCCUCUCCGAAGCUCAGGGAACCCUGGAGAACAGGGGACGGAUGGAGCGUGAGGAGGCUGCGAGGGGAACUGUGACACACUGUCCCGUAGACAUGACCUGGCUGCCACCGCCCUCGCAAGCUCACAGACUGAAAAGAUUUUUAAUUUAAGAGGCGUGGCCAUCCUACUGACUGCCAUGCUAACGCAGUGUCUGGGGCAACGGCUACGGCUGGGUCACGGCGAUGAGGGCCACUGCUGCAGGGUGACCAUCUGGCUCCUGAGGGUCUUCACCUCGCUGGACAGCACCUUGUUGCGAGACCGAAUGCCCUCAAACUUCCUUCUCAGCUCCUCCAGCUCUGUCUGGAGGGUGUCCCGCUCACUGACCCCGAUGUAGAGCUGUCGGCGCCUGCAGCACCGCGUCUGUCUGUGCACCGCCAUGCUUCCCGCCAUGGUGACAACGGACUGGACCUCUGAGCUGUAAGCCAGCCCCAGCUGAAGGCUUUCCUUUGUAAGAGUUGCCGCCGUGGUCACAGUGUCUCUGCACGGCCACAGCGACCCUGACUAAGACAGCCUCCCACACCUUCUGUGCUGCCUCCCUUCCCCAAACCACGCUCCACGUCUGAGGGUCAGAGGACCGUGUCUCUUCACAAAUUUAAGUGCCUUGGUGCUUAUGGUGGCGGCAUACAAGGUUCAACAGGACGCAACCAUGCCCAGCCCUCUAGGUGGCCCGUUUCCCUCCCCGUGCCUGACAGUGCAGAGGGCUGGGGGAGGCUAUGACGACACUUCUGACGCCCCGGCACAGGUGGAUGGACGCUCUGGGGGAGAGGGUGCGGAGGGUCUGGCUGCUGGAAGCCUCUGUCGGGUGCUGAGGCUGAGGGAGAUCCCAUUGGCAGUCAGCAGUGAGGCACAGCCUGGAACUCUGGCCACCCACUCUGUUCAGAGCUCGGUGGGGCUUCCUCCAGGCCCCGCCCUAUUCCACUCUUGGGGGAGUGAUCCAGUGUGGGGGUUCAUCACCACUGCCAAUGUGUCUGGAUUUGGAAGCACCUAGAAGACACACCUGGGGCAUGCCUGUGAGGUUGUUUCCCGGGGAGAAUGACGCACCCUGAAUGCGUGUGUGUGUGUGUGUGUGUGUGUGUGUGUGUGUGUGUGUGUCCCCAGACU